Molecule: ribosomal RNA, 433 nt
Filed under: uncultured bacterium
Lineage: Bacteria
Description: partial 16S ribosomal RNA
Rfam family: Bacterial small subunit ribosomal RNA
Source: RNAcentral
AACGAACGCUGGCGGCAUGCCUAACACAUGCAAGUCGAACGAGACCUUCGGGUCUAGUGGCGCACGGGUGCGUAACGCGUGGGAACCUGCCCUUAGGUUCGGAAUAACUCCCCGAAAGGGGUGCUAAUACCGGAUAAUGUCUUCGGACGAAAAAUUUAUUGCCUUUGGAUGGGCCCGCGUUGGAUUCGCUAGUUGGGAGGGUAAAAGCUUACCAAGGCGACGAUCCAUAGCUGGUCUGAGAGGAUGAUCAGCCACACUGGGACUGAGACACGGCCCAGACUCCUACGGGAUGCAGCAGUGGGGAAUAUUGGACAAUGGGCGAAAGCAUGAUCCAGCAAUGCCGCGUGAGUGAUGAAGGCCUUAGGGUUGUAAAGCUCUUUUACCCGGGAUGAUAAUGACAGUACCGGGAGAAUAAGCUCCGGCUAACUCCGUG